Molecule: long non-coding RNA, 1033 nt
Filed under: Equus asinus (donkey)
Lineage: Eukaryota; Metazoa; Chordata; Mammalia; Perissodactyla; Equidae
Description: lncRNA (ENSEASG00005030465.1)
Source: RNAcentral
GACUCUAAGGGAAUGAACGGUGCAGCUGCCAGAUGAAAGGAUCCAAGCACUUGAAUCACAAGAUGAAGGAAAACCACCCGCUUGCCAACCAGGACCACUGGAUUGGCCUAGAAUCUGAAGGGCAUCUGGUGGAGGACUCCAAGUCCUGAGGAAAUGGGGAAGCUACCAGGUCUGGUGGAUCCUAGGUGCCUGAAGAAUGGCACAACUCCUUGCUGACCCACAUCAAACAUAAUGUCUCAGCUGGAACACACAGGAAAUAUUCCUGGCAGUAUUGAACAACAUCACGGACACAAAAGGGUCCCCAAAGAGGGUGCAAAAGAUACUACCCUCCCAAGAUCCAGAGCCACUCCCAAAGAUAACCAAAAGAAAGAAGACUUAGACCUAAGUCCCCUGAGAGCUGGAAAUGUUGGUAGGAUCCUAGCUGCAAAUGCAGUGCAACCUACAUUUCUGUCCAGCCAUAUUUUGGGGGCCCCCAAUCUGACGAUUGCCAAGCCAAGUUCUCAAGACACAAAAUGAAGCCAACAAAAAGGCAAUAGCUGUCCCUGAGAGAGAAAGGAUCCAUAACCAAUGUUUUUUCUGCCAAUCUGAAUUUGGAAAUGAAGGGACAAUGUGAAAUUUUACCCUCCUCUGUCUGCCAGAUACCACAGAUAGAGAGCUGACUUUGGUAAAAUUCUGACCCUUUGCUGGUUUCUGCCAGCUUUCCCCGGAUGCUGUAUGCAGGCUCUGUGGAGUGAGUGGGCAUCCCAGUGGGUCUCAUCCUGGCCACCAGAAACUGUAGAGGAGGAAUAAUUUUCCCUCUACCCUUUAUAGGGCAUCCCUAGCUGAGACUCCUUUUUCUCCAGGGGACUUCGUAAAUGGAUACGUUUAUCUAAGAAGGUUAGAAGUUCUUCACUCUGGCCACUGUAAUUCAAGAUUCACUUUCAAAAGUUAAACCUAGUCAUUCACGCUUCAAACAAAAUUUUAUUCACCUGAGGCUUCGCACUGGCGGCUUCGCAGUGGACCAGUUUAAGUCAGACCCCGUCCAUCUCGGAAC